RNAcentral lists this small RNA (168 nucleotides) under human gut metagenome. Its description in RNAcentral is "Clostridiales-1 RNA". It matches the Rfam family "Clostridiales-1 RNA". The record is from RNAcentral.
GAUGCCAGGGUCAAAGGGUCAAAAAUCCGUUCAUGCUUGCAUGAUAAGGCUUUUGAACCUGGGACCCGCCAAACAUGAGAAAGUAGCGAUUUACGCAGUAAAUCAGCGGAUUUCGAAUGUUUAUAGAAUUGCGGGAGCUGCUUUGCAGCGGAGUAAUUCGUAGGCAUC